Molecule: ribosomal RNA, 697 nt
Filed under: uncultured Bacteroidota bacterium
Lineage: Bacteria; Pseudomonadati; Bacteroidota
Description: bacterial SSU rRNA
Rfam family: Bacterial small subunit ribosomal RNA
Source: RNAcentral
AAGUCGAGGGGCAGCACGGGUAGCAAUAUCUGGUGGCGACCGGCGCACGGGUGCGUAACACGUAUACAAUCUACCCUUAACAGGGGGAUAGCCCUCCGAAAGGAGGAUUAAUACCCCAUAAUAAAUUGAAUGGCAUCAUUUGAUUUUGAAAGUUCCGACGGUUAAGGAUGAGUAUGCGUCUGAUUAGCUAGUUGGUGAGGUAAAGGCUCACCAAGGCAACGAUCAGUAGGGGAUCUGAGAGGACUACCCCCCACACUGGUACUGAGACACGGACCAGACUCCUACGGGAGGCAGCAGUAAGGAAUAUUGGUCAAUGGAGGCAACUCUGAACCAGCCAUGCCGCGUGCAGGAAGACGGCCCUAUGGGUUGUAAACUGCUUUUGUACGGGAGAAAACCCUUUCACGUGUGAGAGGUUGAUAGUACCGUAAGAAUAAGCAUCGGCUAACUUCGUGCCAGCAGCCGCGGUAAGACGAAGGAUGCAAGCGUUAUCCGGAUUCAUUGGGUUUAAAGGGAGCGUAGGUGGACUUGUAAGUCAGUGGUGAAAUCUCUCAGCUUAACUGAGAAGCUGCCAUUGAUACUGCAGGUCUUGAGUACAGAUGAUGUGGGCGGAAUAUGACAUGUAGUGGUGAAAUACUUAGAUAUGUCAUAGAACACCGAUUGCGAAGGCAGCUCACAAAACUGUAACUGACACUGAGGC